RNAcentral lists this ribosomal RNA (253 nucleotides) under uncultured bacterium. RNAcentral's name for it is "partial 16S ribosomal RNA". It matches the Rfam family "Bacterial small subunit ribosomal RNA", at positions 524 to 776 of the family's 1533-position model. The record is from RNAcentral.
UACAGAGAUGGCAAGCGUUGUUCGGAAUCACUGGGCUUAAAGCGCGUGUAGGCGGAGCGAAAGGCGCCUUGUGAAAGCCCCCGGCUCAACCGGGGAACUGCUUGGCGAACCGGCGCUCUUGAGGCAGGUAGAGGUCACUGGAACCAUAGGUGGAGCGGUGAAAUGCGUAGAGAUCUAUGGGAACGCCGGUGGCGAAAGCGAGUGACUGGGCCUGAUCUGACGCUGAGACGCGAAAGCGUGGGUAGCAAACAGG